This is a long non-coding RNA of Oncorhynchus tshawytscha (Chinook salmon), 792 nucleotides long. The record is from Ensembl. Lineage: Eukaryota; Metazoa; Chordata; Actinopteri; Salmoniformes; Salmonidae.
AGAGGGUGAGGUGAGAGUGAGGUAGGUGAGGGAGGGUGAGGCAGAGGAGGUGAGGUGAGAGUGAGGUAGAGGGGGGAGGGUGAGGUAGAGGGGGUGAGGUGAGAGUGAGGUAGGGGAGGGAGGGUGAGGUAGAGGGGGGUGAGGUGAGAGUGAGGUAGGGGAGGGAGGGUGAGGUAGAGGGGGUGUGGUGAGAGUGAGGUAGGGGAGGGAGGGUGAGGUAGACAGGGUGAGGCAGAGGGGGUGCAGAUGAGUUAAAGGGGGUGUGGUGAGAGGGGUGAGGUUAGAGAACAGGCACCAACUAUGCCAUAACUAUUUACAGUCUACACACAACUUAACCUGUCACUUACGUUCUGUACAGUACAUCCAUACUGUUACAUUGUAGCGUUGCCUUAUUCUGCCAUUCACUUCCUUCAUGUCAAACCUUUACAGCAUUUAUCCUCUAACACUUCUCAUGUAUUUAUAUUCUGCUGGUCAAAGCCUGUCUCUGGCUGGCUGCAUUGGCUGGCUACACAACUUGUGUGUUCAAUCUCUUUAUUUCCAUACGGGCUCCACACCUCACUAAAGCCUGUGUAUGGUUCUCUGUAACAGCCCCAGUGUGAAACGUAUUGCAUCUGAGCCUGUAGUGUGAGGCUCCCCUCUGAGCCUGUAGUGUGAGGCUCCCCUCUGAGCCUGUAGUGUGAGGCUCCCCUCUGAGCCUGUAGGGUGAGGCUCCCCUCUGAGCCUGUAGUGUGAGGCUCCCCUCUGAGCCUGUAGGGUGAGGCUCCCCUCUGAGCCUGUAGUGUGAGGCUCCCC